GUUUUGUUUGGGUUUUGUUU
Molecule: microRNA, 20 nt
Filed under: Corchorus olitorius
Lineage: Eukaryota; Viridiplantae; Streptophyta; Magnoliopsida; Malvales; Malvaceae
Description: bta-miR-181
Source: RNAcentral